Molecule: long non-coding RNA, 294 nt
Filed under: Jatropha curcas
Lineage: Eukaryota; Viridiplantae; Streptophyta; Magnoliopsida; Malpighiales; Euphorbiaceae
Description: long non-coding RNA (JCUR_LNC001624)
Source: RNAcentral
UUCCAUAUAAUCCAUAUCAUCAGGUGCACACGGGGGCGCCGAUCUCCCAUUUUCCCGGCCGACGGUCAAAUAUCAUAUCAUAUUCAGGAUCCAAUAUCAUAGAGACCGUCCUCACAAACCCAUGGUGGCCCACUUCAUCCCAAUUCCACACAAACAAGGCACAACAAUAUCACAUCACAGGUAAUCAAGCAUUAUUUAAUAUCAACAAAUAGUGCAUCACAAUAUAGCAGCAAUUCAACAAAAUAAUGCAUGAUAACAUUUAGCCGUGAAUGCAUGAAUGCAAGCGGAUGAUAC